Triplophysa rosa is the source of this 1672-nucleotide long non-coding RNA. RefSeq lists it as uncharacterized. NCBI's taxonomy places the organism in Eukaryota, Metazoa, Chordata, Actinopteri, Cypriniformes, Nemacheilidae. The record is from RefSeq and is a predicted model, not a curated record. The transcript has 5 exons.
UGAGGAGGUGCAAUAUUAUCACAUGUUGCUUUUGUGCCUUUGCAGGGCUCUAGACUCAUUUUUCCCUCUGGUCGCAUUGGUGCGUACCACUUUCUCAGUUGGUUGCACCAACUUACAAUUUGGUCGCACCCUUUUUUAUGGUAAUCAUAAUGACCUCAGUUGAUGAAUCGUGCUGUUAAUUUGUCACUCUGUCUUUUAAAAUAGUUGGAUAUAGACCGCUUCAUAUUUGCACUUUUACACUUCCGAGCCCAAUAAAUGCAAAGAAACGUUGUAUUUGUUAUUUUAUACAGUUGUAAUUAUUUAGUUUUAUAUUCAAGUGAUAUAUUUGCUAUGAAAUGAUCUGACACAAAUAUAACCUCCCUGAUAGCAAUAGACUUCGGGGCGUAUCCGCCUUCAAGUCGCCUGGUCCGCUGUACUCUCAGAUUCAAUUCGGCCACACGCACAGAAUAUGCCCCGCCUCCGCACAACGCACUGUCAACUCGCGGACUCGCAACUGACGCUGGGCGAAUUCUCUGACCGAACGCGCCUUUUUUAAACCGUCACAGUCACUUAUUCCAUCUCCUCACACAGUGGAAACGCUGGAGCUGGCAGGUCGGUGAGGACGGAACACGCUUACAGCUCAUUCAAGUGCCACUGGUCUUGCAGUAUUUCAUCUUUUCCAAACAACCGAGUAAACUUACAGCUCAUUCAAGUGCCACUGGUCUUGCAGUAUUUCAUCUUUUCCAAACAACCGAGUAAAUUUACAGCUCAUUCAAGUGCCACUGGUCUGUUUUUGGAGAAUUUCAUCUUUAAGGUGCUGUGAGAAAGAGCCAUGUCUCCCGUGCCGCCACUGAUGAUGACAUUACAAAACACGUAAUACGGUGGUUCAACUUGGCAGCAGAUAGGGGAAACUCAAGGAGCCGUCCCACUGUCAGCACCCAACAGUAGCGUUUCGGUGUUUCACAGUUAACUUCUGUGUUUUGAAGUGUUCGUUUAACAGUUAAGUAGUAACAGUUGAGAUAAAGUUUACUACUUUAAAUAGUUUUGUUUCUAUUCAUCUUCAAAAAACCCAGUUUCCACACAAAAAAAUAAGCAGUGCAACAUUAAUAAGAAUAAAUGUUUCUUGAGCUACAUUAAAAAAGUGUUCUUUUUCAUUAAAUAAAAAAUGUUCUUUGGACAAUUUAUGGUUGCAUUUCAUUUUCUGUAAUACCUAUUAAUUGUAUACAUAAAUAAUUGUUACUGGCUAAAAUGGCUGAAUUUUGAUUUACAAGUUUUGAAUGAUUUCAUCAUGUUUUAUUAAUAAAGGCAGGCAUAUUAAAUAUUAUAGAGCAAUCCAGUCUAUCCAAUGUCGGUCCAUUAGAUUUGAAAUAUUUCUUUAGCUAGUUUUGGCCAGAAUACUAGUUUUAAAUGAGGGAUCUGAAAGGUAUCCAGACAGAAUGACCAGAUCGGAUCCGUGGCGGAUCAGCUGCUUUAUAAACGGGUCCUGAUCGGAUCCGUGGCGGAUCAGCUGCUUUAUAAACGGGUCCUGAUCGGAUCCGUGGCAGAUCAGCUGCUUUAUCAGCGGAUACAGGGCGGGUCUGCCCCAGAUCUGGUCCGGAUCCGCAAUCCUUAUUUGUUCCGGAUCCGCUGCGCUGUGCAAGUGGACUCCGUUCCGGACCCGUUUUGCGCAUCCGUUCCGGAGCUUGUGACACUU